UGGGGAAUUUUGGACAAUGGGGGCAACCCUGAUCCAGCCAUGCCGCGUGCGGGAAGAAGGCCUUCGGGUUGUAAACCGCUUUUGUUCGGGAAGAAAUCCUCUGGGCUAAUACCCCGGGGGGAUGACGGUACCGGAAGAAUAAGCACCGGCUAACUACGUGCCAGCAGCCGCGGUAAUACGUAGGGUGCGAGCGUUAAUCGGAAUUACUGGGCGUAAAGCGUGCGCAGGCGGUUGUGCAAGACAGAUGUGAAAUCCCCGGGCUUAACCUGGGAACUGCAUUUGUGACUGCACGGCUAGAGUGCGGCAGAGGGGAGUGGAAUUCCGCGUGUAGCAGUGAAAUGCGUAGAUAUGCGGAGGAACACCGAAUGGCGAAGGCAGCUCCCUGGGCCUGCACUGACGCUCAUGCACGAAAGCGUGGGGAGACAAAC
This 428-nucleotide ribosomal RNA is filed under the name uncultured bacterium. RNAcentral's name for it is "partial 16S ribosomal RNA". It matches the Rfam family "Bacterial small subunit ribosomal RNA", at positions 355 to 774 of the family's 1533-position model. The record is from RNAcentral.